GAUGAACGCUGGCGGCGUGCUUAACACAUGCAAGUCGAACGGGAUCGGCUGGAGCUUGCUCCGGCCGUGAGAGUGGCGAACGGGUGAGUAAUGCGUGACCGACCUGCCCCAUACACCGGAAUAGCUCCUGGAAACGGGUGGUAAUGCCGGAUGCUCCGACAUGACGCAUGUCGUGUUGGGAAAGAUUCAUCGGUAUGGGAUGGGGUCGCGUCCUAUCAGGUAGUCGGCGGGGUAACGGCCCACCGAGCCUACGACGGGUAGCCGGCCUGAGAGGGCGACCGGCCACAUUGGGACUGAGAUACGGCCCAGACUCCUACGGGAGGCAGCAGUGGGGAAUAUUGCACAAUGGGCGCAAGCCUGAUGCAGCGACGCCGCGUGCGGGAUGACGGCCUUCGGGUUGUAAACCGCUUUUGACUGGGAGCAAGC
This 426-nucleotide ribosomal RNA is filed under the name uncultured bacterium. RNAcentral describes it as "bacterial SSU rRNA". It matches the Rfam family "Bacterial small subunit ribosomal RNA", at positions 28 to 451 of the family's 1533-position model. The record is from RNAcentral.